Molecule: long non-coding RNA, 320 nt
Organism: Pristis pectinata (smalltooth sawfish)
Lineage: Eukaryota; Metazoa; Chordata; Chondrichthyes; Rhinopristiformes; Pristidae
Exons: 3
Source: RefSeq, a predicted model, not a curated record
UCGACAUGGCUGAGGACGGCGACGCUUUUGAUUACCCAAUGAAAAGGUGAAAGACGCUAUUGGAGAGAAACACUCAGCAAAUCCCGACCUGGAGUACUUCACUCGCAGCCAAACAGGAAUAAUGGGAGUAAAUGAUACAAAACCUGACGUGGAAUACGAGUGCUAUCGUUGGAAGGGAAGAAAACUAUUCCCCCUCAAAUGUGUAUGGGCGAUCUUUGCCUCAUAUGGAUUUUAAACAUCCUCGGUACGACUUCAAAGAACAAAGGAGUGUCCUCCAGUGCCCAAGUCAAUAUUUAUCGUUCAGCCAACAUCAUUAAAAC